Molecule: long non-coding RNA, 5987 nt
Organism: Astatotilapia calliptera (eastern happy)
Lineage: Eukaryota; Metazoa; Chordata; Actinopteri; Cichliformes; Cichlidae
Source: Ensembl
UUCCAAAAAAUAAUCUCCCCCAGCUCAGCCACGUUUCCAGGCAGGAGGGGAUCAAAUCAGGCCUUUUCUCUCGCUCCCUCUCCCUCUGUAGUCCUCUAAUGCCCCCGAACCAGCCUGGAGGGGAUAUUAUUAUAUUAGAGCCUGGUGUUACUGUGGGGAGGACGCCUGGUGCUGGCAGUUUAGUGUGCGACUGUGUUUGCGUGCGUGUGUGUGUGCGUGGCAGCCAGGGUCCCUCUGGCCACAUCAUCAGCGUGUGUGAGUCAGCCACAGCCUGUUCAAACAUGCACCCUGAGCUGCCAGCCCCAAUACACUUUGUCUCGCUAACACACACACAUGCUCACUGGGUCCAGGUAUCCUGUAGAGAAGGGGAAAACACCAGAGCUGACAUAUGUGUUUGAAUAUUGUCAGCGACUCCAUACGUUUGGAUUUGUUCGUCUUGAACAAUAAUAAACUCCAGAAUCCAACUUUAGUUUCCAUACGAGCACAUUGAGCCUUUUGCGUUAAGAGAACAUGCAUGUGAUGUAGAGUGCCCCCCCUCCCCCAGCCCACCCUGUAAUUUCUGCAGUAGUGCUUUUUUUUUCAACUAUCAGUCCUUUUGCACGUUGGAUGGGAAGAGGCAGGUCAUGAUUGCACUUUGUUACUGAGGAGGGCACUUUGGUCAACGAAACGGGUACUUUGAAACAAACCAGUUGCAAAUGAGAUCAGCCUUUUCCUUCAGUGUGUGAUGGUGAAGUCGAGCUCCUUCGCUGGUUUCGUUCAGGUUUUGACAACAAGCUGCCAAAAAAGAAAAGAGGAGACGAGUGUCGAUCUCUACAAGAGAAGCCAGGCAGGUCCACACACACAAAAAAGAGUAAAUCAAUCCAUGUAACUGAAUGCACUUGAAUUUAGUUGUAAAAAAUCUAGUGAUUGGUUUUUUUGUUUGUUUUUCUUUUGUUUUUUUUUCGUCUUAAUGUAAAGUAAGGGGAUAGAAGGAGGAGGUAGACAAGUGGAAAGAGCGCUGUGUGCGUGCAUACAUGCAUUUUUAUUGUUUUAUUUUUUUUGCAUGCAUGUGCACAAGCAUGCAUUGCUGGCUGGCAGGCUGAAGGGUCUCAGGACAACGCUGGAUAAACAAACUUGGUGUCUACCCCAUCUGUUCACCAGCUACUCUAAAAUCUACAUGUGUUCUCGGAGGAACUGCAGUGAUAAUAGGUCCGCGGUACCACAGGAGCGAAAAUACCAUAUUGUAGAACAACACAUUGGACAGUUGCUUGUUUACUUCACGGCUCUCUUGUUGCAGAUUUGCAUAACUCUUUGUUUACCCUUGUUGGCCAUUGUCAGGGUUUGGCCAGGUCUUGAGAGUUAGUUUCUAUUUUUGUUGUUUCGUUAUGAUAAAGAUGGGGUUAAUUAUUGCACAGUUUGACUCCUGCAGGCAAACCGAUGUAAGCGGGGCAGUCUAAUGUCUUGUGAUCUUCAUGUAUCGUGGUACUUGGCUUGGACUGCCUAAACCCACUUAUCUUGACGUGGCAGAAGUUUUACCUGUCAAGACCCGUGGGUCAUCUUAAACACAAUGUUUCAUUGGACCUUAAUGUUUCCCCAAAUGUCUUAUGUUGUUUGUUGAUUAACCAAAGUUUUUUGCCCUCCAUCUUAGUCUACUGUAAACAAGAGAUAUUGAAAGUAUGUCUAUAAUUUUUCCAGGCUGGGCCUCCCUGACUAAGCCACACACAGAUGCCCUUCUCUGGAAUACAUAUGCAGAAAUGUGUGUCUACUUACUUGAGUUUGCUUUCUCUCACUCUUUGUAUCCUUGUGGAAAAUAGAAUUUGAGGUGUAAGGAUGUAUAGCCUUUUGUUUCUGUCUACACUCGUUUUUCUUAAAAUAACGUGUUGUGCUACAGCUAUUUUUUUUUUCUAAUAAUUAUACGUGGGUGUGAGUGUGAGUGUGAGUGUGAGUGUGCGCGUGCGUGUGUUGUGUGUGUGGUCAUGGUUUUGGGAUGUUGUGCCAGGAAGGUGGGGCUAAUGGGUGCUUGGGUGGGGUUAUGGAUAAAAGCCUGAUAGCACUGGAAGUGGUGCUUUAGCUGAAAGAGCAAAAGUUUGCACUAAUGUUAAAUGUCCUUGUCCUGCUUAUGGGAAAAGGACAGGGGACCUCAGAAAGGCCUGCGAGUUUCCAUGAGCACAGAGCAGUGUGGUUAAUACUCAGUGGUCUCAUUAAGAGUCCAUCCAACCCCUCCGUAGAAAUAAUCAUGUAUAGUAUAUUCAAAAUAUACAGACGUCCAGCAACAAUAAACACCAAAGGAGAAAAAAACUGCUUUCAUUUAAGUCACUGGGCAUUUUAAGCUACCAAUGUAAUGUUUGAUUAUUACUUUUACUGUUUAAUCUGAAGGCUCUUAAAAAGAGAUUUGGGAUUUUUUUUUUUUUUUUUUGUCUUUUUGAUAGAAGUCAAUCAUACAUGCUCUUUAUACAUGAAAAUCUAAAUAUAGAAAAUUUAGGCAAGCAGCAAAUCUUCUCUGAAAAAACAAAAAAAACUACUCGUUCCUGAUGAUGGCUCAGAUGCAAUGUUUGACGAUGCCACAGAUACUCAUUCCAGUUCUUUGUCAUUCUGAGAUUUUUGUCUUAUGUUGAGUCCACUGACGGAUUAUCGAUCCUAAAAUCUGAUGUGUUUUUUAAAUACUUUUGUUACUGCUGAAUUGGAUGAUUUCCAUUUACCUUCUGCUGUUUGAGCUGAGUUUAAAUGUUCUCUGGUUGAGACAGACGGUGACUUUGUGGCCUUGACUGGGCAGUGCUGAGCUCAUGGUGGUGUGUGUGUGUUUUCAGACGGUAAUGUCAUGCGGCGUGGGGCUGAGGCUCACUCCCACCAGGUGGAUUGUGCAGACACAAGGGCCACAGUGUGCCUUAUGUGGACAGGAAUAAAAAAUUUUAAAAAACUCUAUUUUUUUUAUUUUUAUUUUUUUUACCAUUUAAACACUUUUCUUGUAACAUUGAAACCAAAUUGUUAAAGCUGAUUGGCUCGUACUAAAACGAUAGUUAGUACUGAAUGAACUGAUAUAUUAGUGUCUCUCUCUGCCUCCGUGGCUCCACAGCUGGUGUGUCCCCAGCCUCAGCCCCAGGCCAAGGUUACUCUGACACAGGCUGCACCAAGACAGUCUCAGAACUUCAUUGCAACUGUGUUUUGUUUUGUUUUUUCCUUUUCUUUCAAAUGGACCUUGAAAUGUUAUUUUUUUUCUGUGCUAUUAUCAAAGACUUUUUGUAAAUCUAUCUGAGAAGGCCAUAAAACAAAGACAAUAACAAGCACGAUAACUGCAAAAAUCAAACAAAGCAGAAUGGGGUGACUGUUAAUAUGGUGAUAUGGCGACUCGUGGCAGCAGAAAGGGGGCUGUUUGCUUUGCUUCGUCAUUUUGCUGCACACCUGAUUUAUUUUUUUGCACGUUUUCCAUCAGGCUGUCGAAGCAGGGCAAGCUGAGCGCAGCAUAUGCAGUACGGCAGUAUGCACAGCGUGGCUCUGGCACUUACACAGACAGCCCUGGGUCCUUCAGAGAGGCAGGCUGCUGUCUGUUGGCUGCUCUCAGCCAAGCGGGGACAGUUUGCACUUGGAGUCUUUCUCUGUCUCUGGAGAUACAAAGGUUGGCAUACAGGGAGGAGCAAAUCCAGGUGGUAGGAGAGGGCUGAAUGUUGUUUUCAGGGAUGAGAGCAGGAAGCCCAGGUAACUGUUCAGUGUUGGUCCUCUACGCUGAUGGGAAAUACGUGGCCUAAGAAACGUAACACAAAAGAGGUCACCGCAGAGUUCACAUUGGGGAACUGCAACCAUCAGAAUGUUGCAUAUCUCUUUUGUCUCUAUGUAAGUACUACUCAGGUGGAAAAUUCACUGCUAUGCAUUGGGUUUCAGUGUCUGCUCAGUUGAUCGUAUGUCUAAUCAAAUUCUGUGUUCUUGUUCUGUCUUUUCUUUCUUCGUCAUACAAAUAUUUACCGUAAUAAUUCCCAGAAAGGUACUGGCAUGAACAGUUCCCUCUUUGUAAAGUGGAUGCGACCAACCUGUUUCUCCAUCUAAUAUUGAUCCAGUGAAUUGUUAGUUGGAGGGAAGGAAGCCACUUGGGAUUCAGUCUUAUUAGUCGGACUGUAGCGUGCUUGAAAAGACAUGGGGUUGGAAAAGCACAGGGGAGGGGGGUUUGCGUGUUCUCUCACUUUCUUCUCCCAUCGCUCUCCCUCUCUGUGGACUCGUAGUCAACAUCUUUGCUGCCGACUGGCUUUUGAUCAAAGAUCACACACCCUCAGCAGGGGGAUUGGCAAGGGAGGGAGGUGUGGAUGAGGUAUGGAAGAGGAGACAUUUUCACUUGUUGGUAACGUAAACCAGUUUGGGAUACAUUCCAUAACUUCAUACUGUGAUUCCCACUUUUUAGCAAGGUCGUGCGUCUGAGGAGGGACAAGGAAGUGUUAGACAUUCUGCGGAUGGCUGUUUCUGUCCGUCUGUCUAGCCUCUUUAUCCCACUACUAUGUGACAGACAGACAUGUAGACAGAUAGUUUAAAAGGCCCCGGUGUAGCACUAUCAAGCUGCCUUUUAUCAGCUUCUGCGAUUGUAACAAAAGCACUUUGCGAAAGGCCAUCCUGAAAUUGUGUGCUUUUAUUUCAUCCUUAUCAAUAUUGUUUUGGUUAUUUUGUCCCUGUCUUUUUGUUUUCUCAAUGCAACUGAUUAUUUAAAUGCAAAAACUAUAUAAGAAAAAAAAAAACAAGAAAAACUUGAAUAUUUGGUAUCUACAAUGAAGAUGGCUGUCGCCUCAUCACAAACAAACACAUCUCUGUUAUAUGUACCUGUUUUGCAGCUUGUUGCAUAGUCACGCAUUGGUGAUGGUGGCGGGGGUACGGGACAAACCUCCCCCCCACCUGCUCUCUGUUCGCUGUCUGGGAUCUUUUGGGGAGAAAGGUGAUUUGAUUUAAUUUCUGGAGACUCUUUAUUGAAACAGAAACCUGUAUAACAGUUGCAAAGCUUUCUGAGAAGGCUCGCUGUGCUGAAUGUUAAACAUGCAUUGUCGUAUCUACGACGAAUCAAGAUUACUGCAGUAGAGCGGAAAGAAUACUAUCGAUCAUAAUAAGCAUUCAUUAAAUUUAUAGUUCAGUAAAUGGUUUAACGUGGGAGAGAAGACAAAUAGGCUACUAUUUAUAGAUUGAGUUUAACUGUGAUUACUAUAAUUCUUUAUAGAGUUGGGGGUUUUUUUUGUUUUUUUCUGAUGUACAUUUUAAAGUGACCCAGUUCUCAAAUCUGGACAUUUCAGUGAAAAUCUACACAGAAUCACACGAAGCAGAAAACAGCUGCUCCACAUGUGUCUGUGUGUGUGUGUGUGUGUGUGUGUGCGCUGUUUUUUUUUUUUUUUUUCUUUCAUUCCUGUUGCUGGGCACAUGCAUCGCUCUGUGUAUCACAAAUUUAUCCCAGAGGUGGAAUACCUGCUCACUUCUACCAUUAACUCCAGUGACAGCGACGAGAAAAUAUAAAUAGACAUAUUCAGAGUGCAGCAGAUGUUUUUCUCUACAUGAUUCAGUGUGGAUUUUUAUUCCAUAACCUCUUUUGUUUUUCUGCUCAUUGCUAAGAAAUCUGUCAGUGUGUAUCUGUUGGAAGCUGCAGGGUGAACUAUAGGUGAUUUUUUUUUUCUUCUUCAGAGAAUUUGCACUUUUUGGCAACACAAAGAAAUUGUACAUGAGACCACUAAAUCCACAGUCUAAACCAUAUAAUUCCAUUUUGUGUCUUUUAUUUGUUCUGUUCUUCUUCCUUUUUUUUUUUUUUUUUUUUUAAUAUAUCCAAAAAUGUCUGGCAUCUGGUUGUCUGGUUUAAAGAAUAUAAAAUCUUUCUAUUAAAAAUGAUGGUUGCAAAGCUUUGUGUGGAUAAUUGUGUGUGUGUGUGUGUGUGUGUGUGUGUGUGUGUGUGUGUGUGUGUGUGUGUGUGUGUGUGUGUGUGUGUGUGUUUUGAUACAAGUUUGUGUAAACGGUGCUCUUAAGUGGAAGUGUUAUAAAACAAAGGCCUGUUAAUU